CGUGAGCUCAGUCUGCGAGGGACAAAAGUGUAACUCAAACCCAGAAUUAUGGGCUGUGAGGUCGGGCAACAACAACAGGCAUUAUGCAUUGUUUGUCUGGUGGCCUGUCGCAGGAAAAUGCAUUAUAUUUUAAGAACCGGCUUUGGGAUCAAACUGAGGAAGACUGAGGAUGUGGUCGAGUGUUCCCAGGUGUAUCCAGUUCCUCUGUGUUUUGGGUCGCUGCUGAGAAAGAAAGGAGCACGGCAGGUCUCAACAAACUUCCCCCUGAAUAACUAAACAGUUUGCAGGGAAAAAACCUUCCGCAUCGCAGCACGAUGACCUUUUGAUGACUUUAAGGACGUCUCAUCAAUGUUUGCUUAAUGUAGAAACAGUAUCUGGGGAAAACAAACUCACCACAAGCUCCAGAGCAGGAGCUCGUGGUGAGUUUGUUUUCUCAACUGCUGUUUGUGAGGUCAUGAACGAACUUUGAACCUCAGCUUUCAACCCAACGUGGACGAGAGCACCUUAAGAUGGAAACAGGUCGACUCUUACUGCAACAGUCCAGUUACACACCCUCCAACUCUACAAACAGAGGUGACACCUGAGGUUACCUGUGGCUAACAUCUGGCACAUCAACUAAGAACUCACACAAUUUAAAUAAAGACAACUUUGGAAUAACCUCGAGUCGCAUUUCUCCUCUUUUGGUGGAGGCCUCCACCUCAACCAUAUCCCGGGCCAGUCUGCCCAGUUAACACUCGAACUCCCAGUAAGACGGCAAACAAGCCGACCCCCAACGUAAACUGUGACGAGUUACACUACUCGUUACUGUAAUGUGCAGCUGUUGGUCGCCACGUUGGAUGCUGGUGUUUGAAUAUGUUGAACAUGUGAGAGGUUUUGGACGCUGUGAUUGGUUCAUUAACAAAUUUAUCCCAGGAAACAAACCUUUUCUACACUCUUCAGGCCAGAGUGUGAAAACUACAGUCCUCCCAUAAUGCACCGUGCUCGAUUGCAGCAACAACAACAGGCCUCACGGUUGACUGCCUCUACGCCCUCAGUGAGGACUGACCCACUUGGCCCGCGCCGGCCGCACGGUCCGGUCCAGAGCCGCCAGCUGCUGUUGCCGCGGGUGAUGAUGAAGAUGUUGGCACAGGCGUCGACUCAGGUGCCGUCUCCAAGGGAACCAGCGGGACUGUGACAAUCUGAUCAUCUCUGCAGCGACUGACACCUGACUGCACCCCCAACCUGGAGCGGCUCGCACCGUCAGCUGUCCUCAACAGGCCUGAAUGACAGAGAUACAGGAGGCUGCUGAAUGGCACGUGACCUGACGUGACUUGUUAGGAGAGGAACAGCGUUUUAAAACCAGCAGCUAAUUAAAUAACAAAUAAUCAAUAUUUUAAAUAAGAUAAAAAUGCUAAUGAAUGUGGGUUUUUUUUUUUUCUCCACUGUAGGAUGAAGAUGUGUCACAAAGUUUUUCCAGGUCAGAAUAGAAAUAUAAGCUGUUUAGCUCUUGGGUAGCUCAAUCAAGUUAAUUAGACUGCAAUCAAGGCUUUAUCAUUAUUUAACAUUUUGCCUCUUUGAUGUUGAUGUUUUGGGUUCAUUGCUCUGAGCAUUGCACAAUUGCACACACACACACACACACACACACACACACACACACACACACACACACACACACACACACACACACACACACACACUCUAAGCUCUUAGUAUUUAGGUGAUGUUGCCCCACAGGAUCUGCUCGACAGAACUCAUGUAAACACAAUAAACUUUUUAUUUGUUAAUCCAGUUAUUUUUUUUUUUUUAAAUAUUUUAUUGAUUUUGUAUUUUUGAGCAAAGGUUAAAAAUACUAUAUAUUUACUGUAGAUACAAAGGUUGUGUGAAAGCCCGAAAUAUUAAACAUAAAAUAAAAUGAAUCCAGAUUCUAAAUGUCAAAAGUUCAAAUGUGUGGCCACCUCCCCUCCAGUGCUCGUUUGCAAACGUGUCCCCUUUGAUUUGUCAUUGGCUUGUGUGAUAACUGGUGUGAUUUUAAUUGGACGGGACAUUCAUCAGGGACGCUCUCAUUGGUUCGCAGGCCAGUCGGCGCUCCCCUCCCUUUGACCACCUUACUUCCUGUCCCCCAGGACACCAUUAGGCCGCUGCCAGGUCCGAGCCUGUUCGUUAAAACUUGUCACGCUGCGCCGCUGCCACACAUAACAACGGCAGCGCGAGGGAGAAAAUGAUUCAAAGCUCCCUCCUUAAAAACUGUAAUGCUAUAUUUAUAAGCCAGUAUUUAUAAACACAUUUGCAUAUAUCAAGAUGAAAAAGUUGUUUGAAUUGGGAGCAAUUUGCAUUUGGUGAAACAUAUGGCAGAGCCACGGAAGCCAUGGGCCAUGCCUUCAUUACCCGAUCUUCGUUUCAUCAGCUCCUUGCUCCCCCGCUGAGCCUCCCCACGGCGGAGCCUUCUGUCCCCGAGGUUUCAGUGACAGGGGACAAUAUGUCCCCAAGGUGAGGAGCAGGGGGAAAGCUGCACGCACACCGCUCCUCCAAUGAUUAUUUAAUCAGACUCUUCACUCUGGAUCUGAAAGAGGAGAGAGGUACAAAGUGGCGCUUAUUACCCAUUUGUUCAGCGCAGGGAAAGGAGAGCAGAGAGAGGGAGAGAGAGAGAGGGAGAGAGAGAGAGGGAGAGGGGGAGAGAGGAGUGAGUGCUCGAAAUGGCAGAUCGGUUAACACAGCUGACGAGCGGGAAGAGAAAAGGUCCAGAGGAGAGGAAGAGGAGACAAGAGGAGAGAAAACGGACAAGUGGAAAAGGAGAUUGGACAGAAAGAGGGCAGAGAAAAGAAAAAUAGAAGAGGAGGACAAACAAUGAAAAGGGCCAGUGACUGAGCAAAUGGCCGAGUCGAGGAGAAAAACAAACAGAACAGGAGUAAAAAAAAAAUAAACUUCCUGUAUCAAAGUAGCAGCUAAGAUUUGAGCCUCUUGUCUGAGAUCAGAGAUACAAACUGCAGGGGAAGAAAGCUGAGUAUUUCCAAUUCAGAGAGAAGCGUUUAUUUGACAGCACUACUUAGAUACAGAACAUGUGACCAUCUUAAAAACAGAUUGAUUUCCCAACAGCAGAUGAAGUGGUUGAAAUAAUCUAAACCUCAACAAUACUACAUUAAAAUACAGUUUCCACAUUAACAAAUGAGUCGCAGUAACUUGACUCUGACGGCACUAACGUACUUUUACUUUAGUGAAAUUAUGAAUGUGGGACUUUUGCUUGUAGCAGACUGCGCUUUAAUAUUGUGUCAUAUCUACGUCCACACUCACACAGGGAACCUGACACUUCCUCCGCCACUGAUGUCACGUGAAAAUAACCCUCCAAACCAAACAUAGAGCAACAAAGGAGCGGAUAAGAGAGUAGAAGAGGAACAAAGUGGAUGUGUGUUGAGGUCUGGCGUUGCUCGGGUGGAGGUCCUGCAGGUGAAGGUUCGGCCUGGCUGCGGCUUGGCGUGCCACUCACACCAGCGACACAUUUGCAUGUGCAAAAAAG
Long non-coding RNA from Seriola aureovittata, 3490 nucleotides. RefSeq lists it as uncharacterized. The record is from RefSeq and is a predicted model, not a curated record. NCBI's taxonomy places the organism in Eukaryota, Metazoa, Chordata, Actinopteri, Carangiformes, Carangidae. The transcript has 3 exons.